AUGAAGACGUCUAUAUACAAUAAAGCUAAUAAUGCUCACCACCCUCUGUGUCAUGUUUUUUUUCUAACUCUCUUUCUCUCUCUUUCUUCUCACCUUCCUUCUUCUUCUCCUCCUCCACCUUUUCUAUCUCUAUAUCUUCCUUUUCUCCAAAUUUCCCCUCCCUUAUUGACCACUGGUCACCACUCUCAAAUACCCAUUUCUCUAUUUUCUGGUUUGAAAAAAGGUUGA
Vicia faba (fava bean) is the source of this 228-nucleotide non-coding RNA. The record is from the annotation of a GenBank genome assembly. NCBI's taxonomy places the organism in Eukaryota, Viridiplantae, Streptophyta, Magnoliopsida, Fabales, Fabaceae.